GAGACAGAGUCUCACUCAGCUGCCCAGGCUGGAGUGUAGUGGCGCAAUCUCAGUUCACUGCAACCACCAUCUCCCGGAUUCAAGCAAUUCUCCCGUCUCAGCCUACCAAGUAGCUAGAAUUACAGGCACCUGCCAUCAUGCCUGGCUACUUUUUGUAUUUUAGUAGAGACAGGGUUUCACCAUGUUGGCCAGGCUUGUCUUGAACUCCUGACCUCAGGUGAUCCGCCCGCCUCAGCCUCCCAAAGUGCUAGGAUUACAGGCAUGAGCCACCGUGCCCGGCCAACAGUUUUCUUUAAACAAACCAAUCCCCCUCUUCCCAUCCUGUGAGGAGAAAAAAAAUACUUAAAUUUAAACAGAAGUGAAUAGGGAAGCAAACAGGCAGGAAAAGCAAUGUCAAAAAUAAACUGAAAACCAGUUAUCUAUCCACCACCACCCAAAAAAUCCCAACCAACAACCAGCGAGCAGAGUAACAGUUCAAGUCCUGAAGCAAUCGGAAUCAAAACGGAGGAGGUGAAAAACAUCUGGCCAGUUCCCGAUGUCAUUUCCAAGGUGUGUGGUGUUUCCUCCAUAAACAGGAUCCUAUCCCAGUGAUUUCCCCAGACUCCGUCCUCAAAAUACACUUUUCUGAACUUUCUAGAAAAAGUUGUCUCUGUAUCCACUUUGAGCCAAAAGUUUCAAGGACUUGGUUCUUAGAGGAUCAUAGAAAAAUAGCGAAGGAAGAAAAGAAAAAGCAAAACUAAGAUGAGGUCAGAAGAAGCAGAGCCGUGGAAAGGAAGGAGAAGUUUUGCUGAGAGUCCCCACAGCGUUGGGAGCUGUCCUACCUGAAGGGUCCCAGCGACAGAGGCGCUCUGAGUGGCAGGUGCUGGCAGCAGCCCUGGUCCGCUCUUCUGGAAGUAUGUGACCGCACU
RNAcentral lists this long non-coding RNA (908 nucleotides) under Homo sapiens (human). RNAcentral's name for it is "non-protein coding lnc-GSG1-1:1". The record is from RNAcentral. Lineage: Eukaryota; Metazoa; Chordata; Mammalia; Primates; Hominidae.